UUGGACUGCCUUAACUGGAUAUUUUUCCUUUUGUAACUGCUUUAAUCUGACGAUUAAGAACGCUUAGAUUUAACAUUCACCAUCAAAGAAGCUACUGCACAUGAGAAAGAGAAAAACAUCAAGAUCUAAAUUGCAGAUUGCUUUUAUAUUAAUGCUUCAAAUUAAUGAUUGCGUAGUUACUAUAGUGUCAUGGCAUCAUAAGGUUAUUGUGAUGAGCUUGGUACUUGUCCUGCUAUCACCCUAUGCUUCACACUUAAAAAUUUAUCAUUUGUGAUAAUGAGCUAACGCAGGAGAAAAGGGAACCCUAAGUUGUCAUUCUAGUAUAGGUAAAAAUAAAGUGCUUGCAUGUAACAUCCAUGCAUUGACAUCUCCGUUUAAGUAUAAAAUCAUAGUAUAGUGAUGAUAAUGUCUAUACCCGAAUGAAGUCGCCAAUGUUUACUAUAAAAGCUCGAGGAAGAGGAGGGGUCAACAGGCUACUUCGAUGAGGGCCUCUGAUAUUGUCUUGAAGAAGAAUUGAGAGUCAAGAUUGGUCUGCAUGUUUUUUGUAAUGCCCGCAUAUUGGAGGAAAAAAUUGGGGUUCUAGUUGAUCAUCAAGGAAAUCAAAUGCUUCUAGAGUUAGAAGCAUAUCUCCAUUGCAGAAAUACCAAACAGGUUUGCUUAUAAUCCCGUGUGUACCAUGUAAUUGGCUUACACCACCUUCAGAAAUGUCAACAAAUGAUAGCUGGAAAGUACUGAGCGAUUGGCGUGGGCUAAAUUUAGAACUGAAGCAGGAAAAAGAAAAAGGGCAAAGAGGCUUUGAAUGAAAAGGAUGGCGUUUAAAAGAAGCACUAGGUAGUGAUCAUUCAUGCAUGAGCAAGGCUACAAAGAUGAUUGGUCGAACGAAUGAAUAAAAAGAUUAAAAGAACAAAUUCAUGCCUUCCGCCUUUGAUACUAUAUAUAAUAUUAUAAAAAAUAUUGAAAGGUGUAGAUGUAGGUUGGGUUGAUGGUUUAAGGCAGUCACACUGUGUGGGUAUCGGGAGUCGUUAAGAGUAUUCUUUUAGGUGAUCGGAGAAGUCUAAGCACAGUUUUUGUAAUAAA
Molecule: long non-coding RNA, 1077 nt
Filed under: Gossypium barbadense (sea-island cotton)
Lineage: Eukaryota; Viridiplantae; Streptophyta; Magnoliopsida; Malvales; Malvaceae
Description: long non-coding RNA (GBAR_LNC006915)
Source: RNAcentral